GGGGUUGUUGCUCAUUGGUAGAGCGCUUGCCUUGCAAGCAUGAGGCCCUGGGUUCAAUCCUCAGCACCA
This 69-nucleotide transfer RNA is filed under the name Ictidomys tridecemlineatus (thirteen-lined ground squirrel). RNAcentral's name for it is "Spermophilus tridecemlineatus (thirteen-lined ground squirrel) tRNA". It matches the Rfam family "tRNA". From Rfam's summary of the family: Transfer RNA (tRNA) molecules are approximately 80 nucleotides in length. Their secondary structure includes four short double-helical elements and three loops (D, anti-codon, and T loops). Further hydrogen bonds mediate the characteristic L-shaped molecular structure. tRNAs have two regions of fundamental functional importance: the anti-codon, which is responsible for specific mRNA codon recognition, and the 3' end, to which the tRNAs corresponding amino acid is attached (by aminoacyl-tRNA synthetases). tRNAs cope with the degeneracy of the genetic code in two manners: having more than one tRNA (with a specific anti-codon) for a particular amino acid; and 'wobble' base-pairing, i.e. permitting non-standard base-pairing at the 3rd anti-codon position. The record is from Rfam by way of RNAcentral. Lineage: Eukaryota; Metazoa; Chordata; Mammalia; Rodentia; Sciuridae.